This is a long non-coding RNA of Solanum pennellii, 1228 nucleotides long. RefSeq lists it as uncharacterized. NCBI's taxonomy places the organism in Eukaryota, Viridiplantae, Streptophyta, Magnoliopsida, Solanales, Solanaceae. The record is from RefSeq and is a predicted model, not a curated record. The transcript is spliced from 6 exons.
AGAAAGCAUAGGUCUAACUAGAAGUCGACGCAGCUGCUUGUUUUCGUCAUUCAUCUAUGUUUUUUUCAGAUUAAAGAAAAGUCAGGUCAACCUAGCACUGAUCUCAACUCAAUCUCUAUCUUCUAUUUUUGUUCGAAUCUCAGAGAAAGCACAGGUCUACCCAGAAGUAGACGCAGUAGUUUGUUUCAUCCAUUCAUCUGUGUUUUUUAAGAACAAAGACAGUCAGGUCUACCUAGCACCGAUCUCAACUCGAUCUCCAUCUUUAUUCACGAAGUAUCAGGUUCGAUAUGAUAACUGAAAAUAGGGAUAAAUCAAUUAUGAAAAGUACUAUUAGAUACUCAUUUGUUGCGCCCGGGGCAAUAGAAAGAGGAAGAGGACGAGGGUUUUGAAUAUAUAUGGAGUUCUUAACUGCAUGUACUAAGAGUUCAUUAUUUCACUCUAGUCAUCUUGUUAAGCAACACAUUCAAGAAGUUGAAACAAGUGCUAUUGAGAAGGGACGACAUUAACUUACCAACGUCCCAAAGUCUUCUAGUCAUGAAAAGGAAGCAAUAAAUGAGAAGUUCAAUAUGUCUCUUGAGAAAGAGUAUAUUCAAGUCAAUACUUCAUUUCAUCCAUCUACCAAGCAAGCUAAGCAAUACAUCCAUGAUGUUGAAACAAGUUGUAUUUGUAAAGGACAAGGAACUGAAAAUAAAAACACCACCAUGUCUUCUGGCGGACCUCAAACUCGUAAUUGUGUAUUUGGCUUUGGUGGUUGAGUAAAGGGAAAGGACAUGACGGGUGACACUUCUUCAAAGACUGAGUUACUAUCUAAGCUAGCUUCAACUCAAGAGGAAAAUAAAUCUUUGAAUGAGAAAAACAAAUCCUUGAAUGAUAGCUUGUCUACCUUAGAAGAUGAGAUGAGAGAACUAAGAAGAAUGCAAUAAUUCUUUGCUGCUUAACAAUCACAUAAUCCACAUAUGACAUCACCUGAAUCAGUUCAAUGACCACUGACUUUUUUUGCUGAUCAACUUGUUAAUACUUUUGGAUAACCCUUGGUGAAUUUCGGUGUACUUUUGUGAAGAUUGAAGCUGCAAGUUUAGAAGAUGCAAGAUUAGAAGAUGCACAAGACCAUUAAUAAUUUGCUCGGGAUAUUGUUAAUUUGCUAACCUUUUUUUUUGUUAAACAAAUAUUGAAACUUACACCAUGGGAUGUUUACUUAUUUUUAUAUUUACAUCAGCCUUUUGUAUGG